UGCAAUAGUGUUUGCAUUUGGUGGC
This 25-nucleotide non-coding RNA is filed under the name Mus musculus (house mouse). Lineage: Eukaryota; Metazoa; Chordata; Mammalia; Rodentia; Muridae. The record is from RNAcentral.